GACCGGAAUCGAACCUGGAACCCUUCAGUCCGCAGGCCGACGCUCUCCACUGAGCCAAACCGGUUAGGGCUACCCUGGACCUUUUAAAUGGACAGUACUCCAGAUAACUAUGACUGUGCAAAUUGUCCCAGAGCUGAGUUCUUGAACAAUAUUCACUCCUAGACAGUGUGAUGGGGUAGGAUUCCUUUUUGUUUUGUUUGUUUUGUUGGUUUUUUUUUGCACAGGACUAAAAGAUUUGGGUUUUUUCUGCGUCCACGAUUAAUACAAAGGUGUUUUUGCCUGGAAUAUAAUAUGAUGGGCAGAAUUAUGGAUAAUCAAAAUUUCACUCAGUGCAAAGACUUUAGGUGGUCAGCACAGUAUAUGAUUGAGGGAGCAGGGCUGAAGGGGAGAGCUGGGGCUGGGGCUAGAUAUAGGGGUUGUGAGAGCAGGGGUGGGGAGGAACUGGGGACUGUGGAGGCAGAGCACCACAAUAUUUAUUAUGUGUGCAUUUAAUACUCCAAGAUAAGUUUGAAUAGAGGAAACAAGUCCACAGCAAUUCAUGUUAUCUGUCUGAUAGGUUAGACAGUCAAUUAGUGCAGCAUUAAAGAUGGGAACAAAGCAAGGCCUGAAGUGGAAUGGACCUUCAAAUAUUUUUUAUAUUCAGUCAUAAAGUUAACUUUUUAAUUAACUGUUUAUGUGCAAGAAGACUUGAAAAAUCCAAACUGAAGUAGUUUAUUAAGUCAAUCUCAAAGUAAAAAAGAUUAAUGAAAAAUGUUAUCGCCAAAUUAUUUGACUUUGGAUAUGAAUAAGUAUGCCAUUUUUAUAAAAAAGAAAUUGAAAACUUUAAGGGCCCCCAAAAGGAGCUUAUUAAAUCUAAUUGAAAUGAAGUCUACAAACAAUGCCAUAAUAGUCAUUUGAGGCUUAAAUAUCACCCUAGCAAACCACAUAAUUGAACUAUUUAUGGCUGACAUCCAAGAAAUAAGUAGAAAUCAAAAUCCAACCCCAGCAUUAGCCACAGGGUAGGUGUUCCUCUUGAAGAAGGGAGGGAUUCCUCUUCUGCCACCUGUUGGCCAAAGAUCCAUUUUGGUCCUUGCCACGACUCACCGCCAUAUUUACACGUGGCAGGCAUGGAGCCCUGGCCUGGCCCACCGGGCGGAGAGCAAAGAGGCAAUGCUGGAGGGGAGGGAGCCGGUUAGAGGGGAGGGAGCUGGAAAGGCCAAAUGUCCUUGGAAAGACCUUGAGCACCGCCAACUGGGAGCAGAUGUUAUGUAAGUGGCCCCUCGGCUUCUGCCUCCUGAAAAGAUGGCAGCCAGGAGCCAUGCUAGAUUGGUCUAAUUCCAUACUCCAUUAAUUGGCUGCCCAAUUGUACCACCCCAUCUGAUUGGAUGGGGCAGGCGGCAAAGAUCACCCCACCUUUCACUUUUUGCAGCAAGCCGGAAGUGUGCGCCAUAUUUAACAAUGCGGCAGCCCCACCAGGAGCAAAGCCCGCGCAAACACCAGGAUGUCCUCAACCACAAGACAAGUCCGCCCUUAUAUGCCCCUGCGGCAAAACCUGUCCGGAAAUGCUUGCUGCGAAGACAACGGCCCGCCAUGACUGGUCCGGCAAUGCCGCAAACACAUAAGUCCGCCAUGUUUAACACUGCGUCAGGUCCUUGAGCCGCCAUCUUACACCAUGUAACAGAAUAUUUCCAACGCCAUGCUGUGCAUUAGAACAAAGACACUACCAUGAUGUGGCCUCCCGCUAAAUUGGACCCGCCAUCUUGGACACUAACAAAGCAGACAGCCAUGCUGAGCAAUACCGAAAGUCAAGCCGCCAUUUUGGCCCCUCCCUGUAAGUCUCCUCGAUCUCAUUUUCAACUAGCCUCCGGUAAUGCGGCACAGGAUAAUCCUAUUCUUCUACCUCAGGAGACCACAAUGCAUGCAAAUUAGGUAAUUCAAAAUACUUAGCUCAGGCAUCUUGCCUCUCUAAUUUAUACCAAGCACAACCAACUACCAUCAGCUGAGCUCCGAAGCAAACCUCGAGUCGUCCCGCCGCCAUAGCCGCCAUUGCCGCCAUUGCCGCCAUAUUUCCUCCCCAGCCGAACGAACCCCUUAGCCUAACUGCAGUCAUCUCCCAGCCAAAGCUGUAGGUUCACUCACACAACACCAAAGAUUAGCAGCAAAAAUUUGUAGACAUUCCAGAUAGUAUAACGAACCACAGAAAACAACAAAAUUUCGAGCGAUUAAAAAAAAAAUCUAAGCAGGUAUCCGCGGCCCCGAUGGGCAAGAAAAAAAUUAAAGCAGGUAUCCGAAGCCCCGAUGGGCAAUAAAAAGAAGAAAAAAAAAAA
Molecule: long non-coding RNA, 2306 nt
Organism: Myotis brandtii (Brandt's bat)
Lineage: Eukaryota; Metazoa; Chordata; Mammalia; Chiroptera; Vespertilionidae
Exons: 2
Source: RefSeq, a predicted model, not a curated record